RNAcentral lists this ribosomal RNA (301 nucleotides) under uncultured bacterium. RNAcentral's name for it is "partial 16S ribosomal RNA". It matches the Rfam family "Bacterial small subunit ribosomal RNA", at positions 509 to 807 of the family's 1533-position model. The record is from RNAcentral.
CAGUAGCCGCGGUAAUACGUAGGGUGCGAGCGUUAAUCGGAAUUACUGGGCGUAAAGCGUGCGCAGGCGGUUGUGUAAGACAGGUGUGAAAUCCCCGGGCUUAACCUGGGAACUGCGCUUGUGACCGCACAGCUAGAGUAUGGCAGAGGGGGGUGGAAUUCCACGUGUAGCAGUGAAAUGCGUAGAGAUGUGGAGGAACACCGAUGGCGAAGGCAGCCCCCUGGGCCAAUACUGACGCUCAUGCACGAAAGCGUGGGGAGCAAACAGGAUUAGAUACCCCCGUAGUCCCUGUCUCUUAUAC